RNAcentral lists this ribosomal RNA (850 nucleotides) under Hypotrachyna cirrhata. Its description in RNAcentral is "eukaryotic LSU rRNA". It matches the Rfam family "Eukaryotic large subunit ribosomal RNA", at positions 71 to 936 of the family's 3401-position model. The record is from RNAcentral. Lineage: Eukaryota; Fungi; Ascomycota; Lecanoromycetes; Lecanorales; Parmeliaceae.
GGGAUUGCCUCAGUAACGGCGAGUGAAGCGGCAACAGCUCAAAUUUGAAAUCUGGCCCCUUCGGGGUCCGAGUUGUAAUUUGUAGAGAGUGCUUCGGGGGAGACCGCGGUCUAAGUCYAUUGGAACAUKACGUCAUAGAGGGUGAGAACCCCGUAUGUGACCGUGGCUCGAGCCCAUGUGAAGCCUCUUCGACGAGUCGAGUUGUUUGGGAAUGCAGCUCAAAAUGGGUGGUAAAUUUCAUCUAAAGCUAAAUACUGGCUGGAGACCGAUAGCGCACAAGUAGAGUGAUCGAAAGAUGAAAAGCACUUUGGAAAGAGAGUCAAACAGUACGUGAAAUUGUUGAAAGGGAAGCGCUGGCAACCAGACCUGUCCGUAGGCGAUCAGCCGCUGUUCUCAGCGGUGCACUCGUUCUGCGAUCAGGCCAGCAUCGGUUUCGGCGGUCGGAUAAAGGCCCGGGGAACGUAGCUCCCUUUCGGGGGAGUGUUAUAGCCUCCGGUGCAAUGCGGCCAGCCGGGACCGAGGACCGCGCUUCGGCUAGGAUGCUGGCGUAAUGGUUGUCAGCGACCCGUCUUGAAACACGGACCAAGGAGUCUAACAUCUAUGCGAGUGUUUGGGUGUCAAACCCAUGCGCGGAAUGAAAGUGAACGGAGGUGAGAACCCUUUAGGGCGCAUCAUCGACCGAUCCAGAUGUCUUCGGAUGGAUUUGAGUAUGAGCAUAGCUGUUGGGACCCGAAAGAUGGUGAACUAUGCCUGAAUAGGGUGAAGCCAGAGGAAACUCUGGUGGAGGCUCGCAGCGGUUCUGACGUGCAAAUCGAUCGCCAAAUUUGGGUAUAGGGGCGAAAGACUAAUC